AACGCGAAGAACCUUACCUGGGCUUGACAUGCAUCGUGUCGCCGGUGAAAGCCGGCUAGUGUAGCAAUACACGCUUUGCACAGGUGCUGCAUGGCUGUCGUCAGCUCGUGUCGUGAGAUGUUGGGUUAAGUCCCGCAACGAGCGCAACCCUUGUCCUGUGUUGCCAUGCCGAAAGGCGGAACUCGCAGGAGACCGCCAGCGAUAAGCUGGAGGAAGGUGGGGAUGACGUCAAGUCCUCAUGGCCUUUAUGUCCAGGGCUACACACGUGCGUACAAUGGCCGGUACAAAGCGCUGCUAAGUCGCAAGACGGAGCCAAUCGCAGAAAACCGGUCUCAGUUCGGAUUGCAGGCUGCAACUCGCCUGCAUGAAGCUGGAAUCGCUAGUAAUGGCGGAUCAGAACGCCGCCGUGAAUACGUUCCCGGGCCUUGUACACACCGGAGUA
RNAcentral lists this ribosomal RNA (442 nucleotides) under uncultured bacterium. Its description in RNAcentral is "bacterial SSU rRNA". It matches the Rfam family "Bacterial small subunit ribosomal RNA", at positions 958 to 1398 of the family's 1533-position model. The record is from RNAcentral.